GUUUUGUUGAACUAAUAUCUUGUAAGCAUGAUAAUACACUCUAAUAUGGAGACCGACUUGAAGGGCCUAUAUGUUGCUGUUGAUGCUCUGUUUCUAAAUGUUCAUUUUGCUUUCAACAUGAUUAUUAGACUAAAGGAAGGGAAAAUAAGGGUGGAAUGGGGGUUCAAACCAGAAAUAUGGGCAUUUAAAUAGUCAUAGCUAUCUUGCUGUAGGAAGUGUAUGUCACAGAAUCCGUGUUAGGGUUUUGCUUUAGAGAAUAAGAAGAAAGGAG
Molecule: unclassified non-coding RNA, 271 nt
Filed under: Hevea brasiliensis (rubber tree)
Lineage: Eukaryota; Viridiplantae; Streptophyta; Magnoliopsida; Malpighiales; Euphorbiaceae
Source: RNAcentral